Molecule: small nuclear RNA, 104 nt
Organism: Myotis lucifugus (little brown bat)
Lineage: Eukaryota; Metazoa; Chordata; Mammalia; Chiroptera; Vespertilionidae
Source: Ensembl
GUGCUCGCUUUGGCAGCACAUAUACUAAAAUUGGAAUGCCACAGAGGUUAGCAUGGCCCCUGCACAAGGAUGACAUGCAAAUUUGUGAAGCAUUCCAUAUUAAA